GGACCUGCGGCGGAGCCGAGACGACCGCGCAGAUAGGCACGCACCCGGCAGCGCGGCCCCGCGCCCACGGGACGAGGAGGAGGAGGGAGGCAGAAGGUCCCCUUGCAGCCUCCCUCACUCUCUCCCUCCCUCCAAGGUCAAAACAUGGCUGUCCAAAGAAUGGGAUGCUUGCCAAAACAUCAAUCUGUGCUGAGUGCCAUACUCAUUAUCCUUCCAGUGGUGGAUUACAACUCGGGUCUCCUCAGGAGGUGACUGAUGUGGAACAAACUGUACGACUGUCUUUGCUGUUUGGAUACGUGUGUAAGUUAACGGGCUACUGGGAGAAGAUGAAGAGGCUUUUGCAGAAAAAUGAGGAUAUCAUGGGAAGUGCUGCUGCUAACCAUUUGGAUUAUAUUGCUGUCUGACACAGAAGUUCUGCAGAUUACGUAAGGAACUCUCCAGAUCUUUUUUGUUAUGUGAUUGCUGAAGCAUUUUCCUGGCACAGCAGUAAUGAUUGAUGAACACACUUCAGACUAGGAGCCACAGAGCAGUGAGGAUUUAUGCAUCUGGAAUAGAACUAUGAAUGGGAUUGCAGGAUUUACAUGGAGGACUCUGAAAUCCCUCACUUCCUGCUCCAGGAAGGGGGCCUGCUUUGUGACCUGGGGUACAAUCUAUGUCUGCUACUGAAGCUAUCUUGACUGGCAUGAGAAAUGUAGUAUCUUUACAUCACUACAUGAUGCAGAUGGAUCACUCUUUGCCAGCUGCCAAAUCAAAUAUUGCUGUACAGUCUCUACCUUCAGCAACAUCCUCAGUGUUCUGGUGGUGGGUCCCUUGAAAGGAUGGGGCAGAACAGACUUCAUGCCACCCCUGUACUUCAAGCUCUCUGCUCUGCAUGAAGCUGCACUGUUCAGAAGAAGCAAGAUUCUUUCCUCACAGCUACGGCACUGCGACACAGCCUGCUUUUUCGCAUUUACCUGGGUGGCUGCUGCUGGUUCUGCUGCUGCUGCUGCAGCCUCGCUGCCUGCGCUUCACCCCAGCUUGGCUGAUGCGAGCCUCCCUCGUCUGCACAUUGCUAAGGAAGAGAAGCGAUGGAGCCGCAAUUUUUUUGUUGGUUCUGGAAGCAAAGGGUUGUGAUGUGGGGUUGUUUGGGGGUUUUCUUUUUUUUUUUUUUUUUUGGUGGGGAGAGAAAGGAGGGAUGUUAAUCUAGGGUGGAGUGGGUAAAAGCUUAAAGAAAUAUGAUGAAAAGUAAUCCAGUGCUCAACAAGGGCAUCAGCAGCAAGAAUCCAGCCUCUGCUGCUCCAGAGGAUUAAGAUGGGGAAAGCCACAGAACUGCAGUCGAGUUGCACCUCAGCGUUGUUCUGGAGAUGGAUAAACAAGGUAUUGGUCGUAUCUGCCUGCUAAGGCAAAGCCACGGGAGGAAGAGCGAGCGAGAGAGUGCGUGCAAAUGCAGUGGAAGAAGGAACGCUGCGUGCUGUUUGUCUGAUUCUGUGCAUUCUCAGUGUGGAGAGGAUGGUGUGAUUAAGAAAACAAUGUAUGGAUAGAGGCACUAUGAAUUGUAGCUCGAACACUCCUGAUGCUGUCAGGGAGGGAACUGAUGAGCUAGGUGGCUGCAGCAGUAUCCCCAGGGAAAACAGCGGCCAUGCUGUGUAUGUAUGUGCUUAUGUAUGUGUGUGUGCUUAUGCGUGUGGGAGCAUGUACAGACAUGAAAGAAAGACAUUUCUGACCAAUUUACAGAGGAAGCUUGUCACUUUGAUGGUCAGCCUUGAUUGCAGCUUGUAUUUUCAGCUCUAGCUCUACACCCAAUUUCUGAGUGAGGCAGCACUUUGCGAAUGCAGAUGUAGGCAGGAUUCUUCUAAGAAAUAUGAAAGCAGAUCCUUUCUGUUUAACACCUUGGAGCACUGAAUUUUCUGCACUGUGUUGAGAGAAGCUAAGGGGGAGGGGAUCAUUUUCUCCAUCUUACAAUCUUUAUGAACACAGCUAUAUUCAGUACGGCAAAAAAAUUCUAUGUUCUAAAUAGAAAUGUGAUCAAUCUAAUCAAAAUAAAUGCAUCCCAGAUGACUUCUAGACCAGCUGGCUACCACAGUCAUCAGAUGGCUAAAUGCUCAACUGAGCAUUUAUAGUCAGGAUUAUAUUUCUUUUUUCUUUCUUUCUUUCUUUUUUUUUUUUUUUUUUUAGAAUUUUAAAAUCAGCCUCUAAUUAAAAAAUGAUUAUUCCUCUAUUAAAAGAGACAGCAGCUAGCAGCAGAUUUUUCUGAAAUGUACCUGUUUGGUUUUGUUUUUGUUUUUUGUCAUUGUCAUCUGAUUGGCUUGGGCUCUUUUUGUUUAUCUGUUUGGUUUAUAUUUCUGCGCAUGCAUUGAGGAGUCCAUGCUUUUAGAACAGGGAGACUUGUCACAGUGCUUGGCAUACUGAGUUCAGCUGGCAGCUCAGGUUGCCCAUAGCUGAACAAUGCAAAAAUAGGGAAAACAAGUACUGCAGUCAGCUAGUGGGGUUUGGCAUGGCUUUUAGCAGCUGCCUACUGAGAAAGAGGUUUCUUUUUUCUAUUCUUUUUUUUUUUCCCUUUUAUACAAAUCCGUAGACCAUAAUGUCAUCCUAAAAUGCGUACGGGGGGAUUUCCCAAUAGUCAUGGUGGGCUACCCUGCAAGAUGCCUGUCUGGCCCUUCCACUGUUUGUUACCCUGUCUACAAAGGCUGCCCUGUGUGUUGGAUUAUAUUUAGCCAGCUGCUGGGUAACAUUCUUGUGCUGGGGGCAGAGGAGUCUUAUUACUCCCAUACUGUAGUUUUGUGUUUUCUUAAAGAAAAAUAACCUUGGCAAUACAGCAGGCUCUGAAAAGAAGUGUAUACCACUCCUGCACCUUUCUGAAACUGCUGUGCUUCUAACUCAGGCUGUUUUAAAGCAAGCGAGCAGGAGGAAGAGUGGCUCUUAGCUCAUAGCUUCAAAGCUGCAAAAUGUCAGCAGCUUGUAAUUAGGAACCCGUGGUUACGUCAGGGACUGUAUCUCUCCAAGAAUAGCUGUGUGAUGUGUGCCACAAAGCAAAGGAAGGCAGUCAUAACCUGGUUCUCGAGCCUGCUUUGAACAACAGAGCGAAAUGGAUUAAUGAAUCAGCUGCAUUCGUAAAUCAGAGCUGGAUGGCUUACACGUAUGAGACUGGCUGCACUCUGCAAAAGUGAAGACUGAAUUAUCGGUUUGUCAGAGGGCACACGUUCACCGAGUGGAAGUGUGAAUCCUUCGGAAGAAAUGCAGACAAGCCAUCUGUCCUAGGAAAUGUCAUUCCCGUCUCCAUCUUGCACAGGCAGCUGCGUGCCACGAGGCAUGGGAGGGAGCGACUGGCCAGCCGCACCAAGGUGUUUAAAAGCACGCAUAAAAUUAAACACAAAGAGCCAGCACACCAAAACUCGGCUCUGGCGUUGCAGAUUUGAUGCUGAAAUACCACCCCAGUGCAGACCUACUGCGCUCAGGUGUGGUUUCUAUUAAGGCUUCUCUGGUUAAGGGAUGGUGCAAAAAAAGCCUUAGCGCAACAUCUUGCAGCCAAACGUGGUCCUGGGGGUGUACUGGGAAUGCUGCGGCGCUGGGCUGCCUACUCCACAGGGACCUGCCUGGAGCUUUCUGAUCCCUGCUGUUGUUUUUCGGUCUGGGCUGGCUGCUCCACAGCACUUAAGCGGUGAGAUUGCAGGGGUGCUUACCCUGCUCUGACCGGCCUUUCCCCGUGCUGUGGCUGGAGAUGUUUACACGGCUUUUAUCGACAGCCCUUCACCAGUCAGUGUGCAUUGCUGCCUGUUUUUGGCAGCCUGGCGUGGUUCCUUGCUCGCAGCACAAGUCAGCUGCAGUUCUGCUCUUUGUGCUGCUCUUUAAUUUACCAGGAUAGGUAGAUUGUAUUAUGCAAACAGUGGUUGUGGGUUCUGUUUUUUUUUUUUUUUUUUUUUUUUUUCCCUGACCGUGAACACAAAUUUGUAGGAGGAGAUGACUCUGUAUAUUAAACCAAUAGCUCUUUGAAUUGUGUGUAGUAUAAUUUAAAUAUACUUACUUUAAUUAGUAGGAGCUUACAAAAGCCGGCAUUGUCUGGGGCUGUUUAAUUUACAUCGCGGCCUCUGUCAAUGAGUGCAACCUGCCUGAACAGAAUGGCGUAUUCUGCACAGCCGGCAGGGUGGAAGGCGUUACUUUGUUUGUGUUCCUUCCAACAGCUGGUCAUUAAUGCAGGCCCCAUCUCCAGAGUGAAGUGCCGGUGGACAUGAAUGGCCGCCUGAUUAAUGCUGCCCCUCGAUGGCUCCUUCUUCCAGCAGUGAUGCUCGCAGCAGAAUAAUGCAGCGUGAUUUGAUUGCGCUCUAACAGGGCAGUAUGUCAUUGUGUCACCAAGCAAUUGAGGUUAUUAUGGGGCAGGGCAGACAGACGGGACAGUGGGGUUACUAGACCGUGGCAUUUUUAGAAAUGCAGGCCUGACCUACUUAGAGUUAUUCUUGCUGGCUGGCAGCUGCAUGGUGCAUGGCUUGUCCUGAUAGGCUGAGGCUGUUGCUAGGGGGAAUUAGCAUGAAUUUUUCCACAUACAGACUCAGUGAUUGAAUGAUAAAAGCUGACUGGAAUUAAAGAGAUUCGGUUCAGUAUUAUGCAGAUUUAUCUCCCUUGUUUUUUCCUCUCUCAAAUGCAUAAAAAAGGAGCAGAAGACAGUUUGUUUCCAUUCAUUUUUGACCUAUUUUUUUUCCAGAGGAGGGCAGAAGCACUGUGAAUUUUUGAUCAUUUACUAUUUAAGUCGCUGAAAUGAUAUGACAGUGGGCAUGCAUCUUUAAUGUAUAGGAGAUUCAAAUUCCUUCUCUCAGAAGGGAAUGAAAUGAAUAUAGUUUAUACACUGAUCAGACCAUCGCCUUUAUUUAUUUAUUUAUUUAUUUAUUUAUUUAUUCUCUAUUUGAAACUAUGUCAGAUUCUCUCAUCUGGAAAGGGAAAACGUACACCAGGUUUUAUUGCAUAACUUCACUCUUGGCUAUUUUUAGCUAUCUGCACUUUACAAAAUUAGUCCUGUUUGUGUGGCUGGAUGAAAUGAAUCCCCAGACUGUGCCUCCUGUAUGCAGAUACACGCACCCAGGAUGUGCUGUAGUGUGCCGUGUUCAUCUGAAAAGAUGCGCACACACUGCAGACAUAGCAGCUCUGCCUGUUGGCGGAGAACUGACGACUGGCCUUUAAGCUGAUUGAUUAGAUAACCUCUUGUGCAUUUUGAAGUAUUUUUCCGGCUUCAGUUUGAAGUUUGAUUCUCUUGAUAGCACUUUUUUAUUUAUCUACAUCUGCUUAAAACAGUCAUGUUUUUUCAGAGAAUUCUGUGUUCCCUCUGGAAGCAAGUAAAAACAAUACUCAGUGAAGACUUCUUUGAUGUAAUUAUGGAUAUUUCCUUUGUUAUUAUCACUAAUUAUAAGAUAUCUUCGUCCAAACCACAGUACCCCCUGUGUGAUCCUUUACCAUGCAAAAGGAGUUACAAUUUAGUGCUUAUGAUUUUAAAAGGGUUUUCAUGGCAACACCUCCUGACAUCACACUCAAAGAAUUGUGACUUUCCAGCAUCUGGGAAUGAGGGAGAGGGACUCUGAAGUUUUUGUAUUUGCCAAAUGAGUGUGUGACUCAUUGCUGAAAAUUGUGAGCUCAUUUGAGUUUCAUGUGAAAUACCUGGAUGAAUGAGACACUUCUCAGAGCAGUAUCUGUCAGGAUGGCCAGAAUUACCCCUGGAGUUUCCUGGCCUCCUGCCUCAGCUCAUGAAGUUUCUCUGGAGGGUUUGAAGGUGAAUCAGUUAAACAUGGAGACAUACAUCUGAGUGCAUUUUGUAGUCUAGGCAAAAGCAUUUGAUUUGUACAGAUUUGAAUUUUCUGUGUCUCUUUUCCUGUUGGUCAUUUACUACUGAAGCACAUAGCUCUUCCCUGUCUCUUUCUUCCUGACAGCUUUGUGGAUUGACAGACUUGUGGAGGCAUGAAAGUGAAGAGAGGCUUUAUUGGAAACCCAGAGGUUUCUCCUUCUGGCUGUGUUCUCACCAUCUGUCCAGAUGUAACUCCAGCAAGUGUAACUGUGAUGCAGGUCCCACUUCCCACAGCAGGAACCACUCCUCCCAGUAUUCUCUUGAUCAAAGCCCUAUUUCUUGAUCUGCUUUCUUGUGGGAUGCUGUCAGUGGCUUUGGCUUUGCACCUGGGCUACCAUUUUCACUUUGGCAUGUCUUCCAAACCUCCUUGAUGCUGUGUUUUCUGCUGUUUCCCCUCAUGCUCCCACUUGCAUUCCAUGUGAUAAACCUGUUUUAGUGAUGAGAGAGAAGGAUCAGGUCGCGGAGAGGUUUACUUUUGGGAGGGUAGGCAAUGGCCAGGCUUUGUUUGGAAUUGUCUUUUAAAGUUCUCACCCUCAUUGAAUGUAGCCAGUCAUAGUUUCACCCAGUUGACUUGCAACAUCAGCUAACUUGGACAUCAGCAAAUCAAAACUACCGUACCAUAUUACAUUAAUUUCAGUGGAAACAUAUUUUUUAGAAAAAUCAUAAUCAUGGAAUCAUAGAAUCACUCAGGUUGAGAAAGACCUUAAAGAUCAUCGAGUCCAACCAUGACCUAACCAUACUACCCUAACAACCCUCUGCUAAAUCAUGUCCCUGAGAACCACAUCCAAACGAUUUUUAAACACAUCCAGGAAUGGUGACUCAACCACCUCCCUGGGGAGCCUAUUCCAGUGCUUAACAACCCUUUCAGUAAAGUUUUUCCUGAUAUCCAACCUAAACUUACCCUGGUGCAACUUAAGGCCAUUUCCCCUCUUCCUGUCACCUGUCACCAGUGAGAAGAGACCAACCCCGCUCUCUCUGUAGGCACCUUUCAGAUAUUGGAAGAGAGGUCUCCCCCCAGCCUUUUUUUCCCCAGACUAAACAGCCCCAGUUCCUUCAGUCUCUCCUCACAGGGCAUAUUCUCCAAGCCCUUCACAAGCCUUGUUGUCCUUCUUUGGACCUGCUCCAGCACCUCCAUGUCCUUUCUGUACUGAGUUGUAAUGAGUUGAGUAUCAUCUUAUUUUGGCAUAUUCAUGCUAAGAGCGAGCCCAGAGGAAGGCAAGAAACAAUAUUAAGCAUAUAGUCUAUGGAAAAGAAUUAUAUCCCUGAUAUUUGUUUGGGAUUUCAGUACAGUGAACGUUUAUAACAGACAUCAAGUCAGUCAGUUUUAACAAACUGUCAAGUGACAUAUUAAAUAUGAAAAAUGCAGUGCACCAGAAAUUGUACUCAACAUUAGGUUACUAUUCUGCAAGUCACUUUAAAGGAAAUUACCUCAAAUAAAUUAAUGUGUGAAUUGUCUGAUCAUAAUGCCUGGGAUAAUUAUAAGUAGCAGAAAUGUGGAGUUAAUGAAACAGAAACAAAAUCUAGCUCUUUCUAUGUAUGUGUUUAUAAAGCAUAAGAAUCAGGGCACCAGAAGAGUUUGAAAUAUAUGUCUGUUGAAAAUACAGUCAGUUGUGUACAUUCCUUCAAAAAGCAUGUUAAGAAUUUUCUGAUUGUCUCCUCUGAGGUUUCUACUGUUGUAACAACUCACACCUCCCACCCAGAAGUUGCUUACCUACAAAAGAUUGUGUUGUAUUGUUCAGCAUUUUUGUACCAUGACCUCUCCUGUGAGCUGUGAAAGAUCUAUUGUGCUGUGUUUCAUUCUCUAGGGUGGCUAAGCGAGUGCUGAUUUACAAGUAGCAUAUGCAGACAAUUUUUUCUUCCAAUCAAGGAUCCAAAAUCCUACCACUAUUUGAGUUGGCUGUGGUGGUCAGUGUAUUCCUCACCCAGGAGUCUUGGCUGGUUGUGCACUUUGUGCAUUUUGUGAUGUCAUUCAGCUUUCUGGUUUUCUGAAAAGGAGCAGAGGAUGCAGGAUAUAGAAUGGCACAUCUAGAUUCCCAUGAAGGGAUAAUGGCAGCAAGGAGUGAGCUCACUUCCAGACUUUACCUCCUGCCAGGACCUUUAAGAUCAGUUUUUUUCUGCAGCAAAUUUGUUUUGGUUCCAAUUUCAAACCCAAAGUAGGAGGAAGUGUAUUAUAUUUCUUAAAAAGUGGCAGUUGACGCAUUCCUUCUACUGCAGUACAGGAGGGAAUACAAAUGUUUUACAAAUUAAAAUAAUCCUUACAGUAUUUUUUUUCCUGUGAUCCACUAAGAUGGAAACUAAUUCUGUAACAUUACCUUCAGCCAGGAGCAGCAUUACUGUGGCUCCCACAUUCAUAUUUUUCCUGCAUGUGUGCGCCUAUAUACUCGGAAAUACUGUACACACAUUGUGUGUAUAGUAUAUAUACAAAAGACACAGUAUAUAUAUACUAUACAUAGUAUAGUAUAUAUAUAAAAGACACAGACAAUUUACACAAGUGCAGUAUUGGAGCAUACAUUAUAAUGUGUAAUCACAGUUACCUCAGAUUAAUACCAGAACUGUGCUUCCAAGUGUUCAGUGCUGGCUUGUUUAUGGUGAAAGCAUCUUGACAUACAAUUCGUACCAUUUCAACACAGAGCAUAACCAUCACAUUAAUCCUGUCAUCCCAUUCACCACCACCACCGACAAAUGAUGCUGUGUAAUAGAAAGAUACCAAAAAGGGGACAUUAUGGUUAAAAUUACUGUAUAAUUAGAUAGGUGGAUUUCAUAACCACUUUUCAUUUUUUGUAGUCACAAGUGAUGUAAAAUGAAAUGUUUGAUAGCUGUUUAAGACAGAGAGACAAUUUUUUUCUUAUUGUUAAUUCUUCCCUACUGCUCUUAGGUCACACCUGUUUCAAAAGUGAGUCCAGACUUAAAUCUUGACAGAGAUCAUGACCUUACUUCAACCAAUGGCUGUUUUAUCCUGGCACUCAGUGGGACCAGGUAUCAGGUCUACGUAUUUUCAGCUGAACAUGUCUUUGUCUCUCUUCUCACUCCAGAGUGUAGUAUUUCUAUUUCUGAGUUUUCAUUCCUCUUUUCCUCUGAACAUUCUUUGAAUGCUUGAAUCUUUAAGCAAUAAAUUUGCCCUUGAGUAUUAGAAAAUAUGAGGAAGUAACGCUUUCCUACUGAGUAGAUAAGGUUGAGUUGGGGUUAGUCUCCAUAACUUUGUGUUUUCAUAUACUUCUGUUUUCAUCAUAAAAUAUCUUUUGUUUUGAUAAAAUGAAACAGCAAGUGAAACAAAACAAAACAAACAAAAAAAGAAUGAGUCCAGUCUGUGGAAACUCAGGGAAUAAGGUGGUUAUGUUUUGACCUACAAAGAUAGGGCCCAGAAGUGCAGAGGCAGAAAAAAAGCAGUCUUUAAAAGGAAAUGCUUUCUAGCUCUCUAAUGACUUAUUCUGUUAUCAUCACUGAAGUUAACAAUGGAUUCCUUCCUUUAAAAACAAAAAAAAAACAAAAAAAAAACAAAAAAAAAAUCUUUGAUGUUACGUAAAUAAAAUGCUCACAUCCACAUCCAACAAAAAUAUUAAUUUGGAGGUAGGUAUGCCACAGUUGUGUCUAGAGUUUGCUGUGUUUUUGUUGUAAGCCUGACAGACACAGUAAUUAGGCCUUUCCGAGGUAAAAAAUGUUUGGAUACCUCUAAGUUGAAAGCAUUUGAAAAAAUGGCAGCCAGUAGAUGACUGUUGGUAAUAGAUUUUUUUCCUAUGUUAUGCUACUUGGAGAACCCAGGCUGAACAUAGGAGGAGACACUGUGCUGCAAACUUGGUUUGGUGAUGGUUGAAACACGGCUGAUGAAUCUUUGGGUAAAUCUCCUGUUCAUGAACUCUAAUAAUGGCAAUAUAUUAUGGAUCUCACUUACAGUUCCUGCAUGCAAGUGCAAGAAUACAUACACACCAUCUUAGCUGAACUGAAUUGUUAGUGAAGCCAUCUCCAGCGGUGCUAUUCUUUUCUUAUUACUCUUUUGAAACUCAAACCUGCAGUUGUUUAUAACUCACUGAUGAGACUACAAGUUCAUUGUCUCUCCCAAGACUGGUAAGGUUGUAUCCCUUUCCCUCUAGCUUUGGCUUAACUCCACUCAUGUAAACUUUAUGUACCCAUCCUUUUUGUGUGGGAGCAGAAAUUUUGGUGCAUAUCAAUGCCUUAUUUGCUCCGCUAUAGUCACGUGUUUGCAGCAAGUAUUUUCUGUAAACAGACAGUGAAUAGCGCACUUGUCUUGCAGUUGGUCUUGUCUUGGAUUUCUUGGCAUUACACUCACUAUUCCUAAUAUUUUUGUGGUAUUGGAGAGACACUUGUAAAUAUCAAAUAAAUAAGUAGCCUCCCAUGGUGUCUCUUUUUGUAGUGUCAGUUUGUAUUUAGUAUGUUAGCUGAAUAUGAGAACAAAAUGGAAGAUACGAAUACUAAGCACUGCCUUCCAAAAUACUUUCCCCUGUUUUAUGAGAGUAAUCUCAUUUAUUUUAGAAGAAACAAGUAAAUGGCAUACCAAGGGGCCCAAUCAGGCAAGUGAUAUUUGAUUUCACAAAGCAGAUUCUCAUGUUAUGACGCAUUUGCAAGGAGCAGGAUGGAAUAAUAAUGCUGUGCAGAACAACUUGCUUGUGUGCUUUCAAAUAGAGUAGAUCAUCUGAAAGCCACGGGACCAAGCAAAAGCUGAGACUGGUGGACUGGUUGGAGAGCUGUGCAAACCAGGGCAUGACACCUGUUUGUCCAGUUCUCCAAAGGGAUUUUCCAAAGUUUCAAGUGUUGCCAGCAGUUGGUUGCCUUCUUUGCUCAAUCAUUAUUUACAAUGUUUUCAGUUUGAUGGUGUUUGUAAGGAGAGGUAAUAUCCUUUAUUCAAACCACCUCUCUCCCUUGGCUUUUUGAUAGCCUUAGGCAGUCCUGGCUCCCUCAUGUUCUAUAAUUCUCUGAUAUUGUUGUUGACUCUAAUGGUGGUUAAGAGCAUGCAAAAUAGUCAGAAGCCCAACAGGAUUUUGAAUCGAUAGUGUUCCAUAGUUUAAGAUUUCUAUAUGGAUCAAACAUUUCUAAUACAUAGAAAGCUAGAGGAAAUCUCAGGCAGUGAAUUUCUGGCUGUACUCCUGUGUUGCUUAAUGAUGGAUACCAAUAAAUUCAGUUAUACUCUAGGCUUGUUGCAAUUGUUGGCUUGCAACACUGCCAAUCACACUGGGAGGAGACAAAACAGAAAAAACAGUGUUUUCUCAGGCAGAAAAAUCACUUUACUGAGUACGGUGUGGUGUUUUGUUUCACCCUUAAAGAGUCAGCUCAAAGAUCCCCUGUAUGUUUAUGAUGCAUACUAGUGUUCACUGGUAUUUAUUUUAAUACCUUGUAUUACCAAAACUUCUUUUGUGCCUUGAACUUCAUGCUGUAGGCUGAAAAGUGGACUUAUGCAGCCAGAACACUGAACACAAGCCUCCUGAAAAGUGUUUGUAUUUUAAGAUGGUACUCCUGCACACUUUGACGUACUAGCAGAUCUGAUAAGCUUUGGGAGAAAAUAGCAUAGUAUGGUGCUAUUACAUGAGGAACUGGUAUUCUAUUGAAGAGAAGUCAUUCCAUAAUGUGAUUUUUUAGAAACUAUUUUUCUGGCUGUGUUUGCUUAGAUGAAUGAAACAAACUUCAGUGAAACAAACUGAGCAUAGUCAUAAAUGCAAAUUCAGUAAUAAAUGUCCGUGUGGAACACAGACUUCCCACAAAAGCAUUUUAUUGUUUAAUUCACAGGGUGAAAGGAUACAUUUGUUUUCAAAUAUAGCUGUUAGUUGUAAAAGCUAUGGUUUGGGACAUAGAAGUUGUUCUUUUGGUGAAAAGUGUGUAAAAUCUUUCAUGCACAUUCAUUGUGUUUUAAGCCCCAAGGUCAGAAUUCAGAACCUGGCAAUUCCGAUAAGAAUGAGAAACUGAUGAUAGAAAUGAAAUGUAUUUUGGGGGCAGUUUUGCAGCCAUGUGCUUUAUUUUACAGAGCAAGUAUGCAAUUUUGCUUCAACAAACACAGGCAAAAGUCAUCAGAGCUUUUCUUUCUUCUCCCUUCCCCUCCCUUUUCUUUCCCCUUUUCUCUUUUUUUCCUUUCUUUCUUCUUUUUCCAGAAAUACCCAAAAUGGUUAUACUUGCAAGUAGCAUUCAAAAAAAGCUUCAUCCUCCCAGUGUCAAUGCACAACAUUCCUCUUUGCUCUUACACCCCCUUUACUUGCAUUUUCCUAGAUUAUCGUUCUCUAUUGGUCUACAAUCACAAACAGCAGUAACAGCAACAAACAACAAAAAACAACAAAGAAACAACAAAACACCCUCUGUUCAUCCGUUAGAUUCAGUUCUACACAGUCCCCAACAACUUGGACUGUCACUCCUUUUGCGUGCUAAUGUUUUAAACACCUGGUCGCCCUAGUUUUUGAGCCAUAAAGACUAAAUGCAUGUGCCGGCUUCCAUGAAGCCUGUGAUGGUUUCUUGAUUCUGGAUGAUACCCACACCUUCCUUAUACCUGUUAGAGUUUGCGUCAUAUCCAUGCACACACAUACCCAUUUUUUAGAAACGAUAGAGAGGCUUUUUGUCACUCCUUAAUCCUUUGUCAAAGGGUAGAAAAUGCAGUGUUUUUCUGUGUGAGCUGGGUGGACAUCAGAGACUCUUCUCUUUCUUUGGGUCCCACAGCCCUGCUUUGAAAUAUUUUUAAAGAGAUGAAUAGGGUGUAGUUGUAGCUUUAAAACGAUGAACUUUGCACAUCACUGCAAUAAAUGGUUCUCCUUUUUAUUCUGGGGUCCAAGUUGAGAUAAUACACAGAAGUAAAGAAAAAAAUCUGGAUGUCUUCUAAUUUAUUGUCUCCUGACUUUUUUUCCUCCCUUUAAUUUAUUUUUGGAGUCUGGGAAGAAAAGCAUGCCAGAAAGGCCCAGUGUAUUGAUGUGUGAAAUUGAAGUAGUUGAUGAUUCUUAUGAUCCAGACACCAUGCCCUUUGACGGGGUUAACAUAAAAAGAAACAUACUGGAAAACACACACUUAAAUAUGAAAAAUUCCUUAAAUUCAGGGUGUGUUCAUGCAAAGUGAAAUUUUUACAGUGUGGAAAGCAUUAAACCUGAUCCAGAAAAAACGUUAGGUGCCCUAGCCAUUGAGAUGUGAAUCUCUUUAAUCCACGCAAGCAUUAGAAAAAUCUGAAACAUGUGAAAGUUCAAAAGCUGCAAAGCCAUUACAUGACUCCUUAUUCAUUUCUCAAAUAUUGUGACUUUCUAUUGAACUGUGAAAAGGCUUCUUCUUGUAUUUUUUUCCCGUUUCAUGAGCAAUAUAUCAGUCACUCACAAAUGCGUUAUUCCGCAUUGUGAAGCUGAAAGUGAGUUUCAUUUGGUUGUGUCUACUUGGGUAUAAAUCUUUGAUUUAUUUCUGAGCAUUUAUGUAGCAUUUCAGAAGUUGGUCACUUGCACCUUUUCAGCAUUUGCUGUUGGAGAAGGGGAAAAGGCAAGUAUUAGUGGAAUGUCAAUGUUGUUUUUCUUAAGAUCUCUUAGACUUUUUUUUUUUUUUUUUUUUUAGUCUGUUUGCUCGAAUGCAGUACUUACGGAGAUAGAGUUGCUGAGAGGUAAGCUAGAGAUUGCUGUUACAGUGCAGUGUCUGAAAAAUGGCUCUUUAUAUAGGGCAACAACCUUAACGGAGAGCAGAAGGUUUCACACUGGUUUGUCACCUGAAAAUGGGACUUAUUUUUAUCAGUGAAACUCCUGUGAGAAGAUCAUGCAGUGCCAGAGAGCCAUUGGAGCUGUUGCUUUUUUUUAAAUGAUAGCAACUGCAGAAUCUGAUGGAGACUUCCUGAGUCCCUACCGUCCUCUUCUCCCCCCCCCCCCCAAAAAAAAAAAAGUCUUAAAAAGACAGAGAAGCCUGUUAUCUAUAUGAAAAUAGCUGUCAACCUGAAUUUCACUAACUUGCCAGAAGAUGUAUCAAACAGUGAAGAUAGUCAGCUAAUUUCUGGGUCUCCUGAGAAGACCACACUCUCAAGUGAUGGACUUCAUUUAGAGUUUGUAAUCUAAGGAAAAUAUAUGACUCAAACCUCUGCCAAGGCCCAAAGAGCUUAAAUGUAAAUAUGAGAUAAGGACUAGCUGUAGUCAUGCCAAGGAAUUGCAGCAAAACAAAGGCUUAUUGAUCAAAAAGGUCAUGGAAAAGAGGACAAGGCUUAAAGAAACUAGAUUUAUUUUUAUUUUUAUUUUUUUGAGUUGAAUGCAAAAAUAGUAACCCAAAGAUGGAGUUCUGUAUGGCAGGCAUCUGUCAAAUGCAUUCUUUUAUUUGUCUGCACAAAUAAAGUGAAUAUCUAUAAUUCUCUUGUUUCAUAGAAUGACUUCCAACCAUAGUCUCCAGAGUCUUGAAAUAGCAAAUAUGUCCCUCUGAUUAAAAUGGAGAAUGUGACAACAGAAAAUGCAGUACUGUGCCUGGGUCUUCCACUUGAUGCUGUUGGGCUUCUCAUGUCUUGUAGGGAUAUGUGUAAGGCUGCUCACAUAUUAUGGUAGGCAGUGGCUACUGAUCUAUUACUGUGGUACGUAAACCUUCUCAAGGGUUUGAAAUAAAUACCUGCUGUUGACUUCAUUUCCUUGGUGAAGAAGGCUUUUUUUUCUUAUAUGUCUGGUGAAGGUUGUAUAGGAAAUGGUGCAAUACUUGCUAUCUAGGAUCCACAAGUUGUCAACCUUUCGUAUCAUGAAAAACAGAAAUAAAGGACAAAUUUCUAUUGCGAGACUGCUGGAAAAAGAUUGUAAAUCACAGAGAUCCUAGUGUCAUCGACUGACAACAAUCUGCUAAGUGAUGUUUGUGUUUUAGGGGCAAGCGGAAAAAGAACAUUCCCUGCGAAUGACAACUGCCCAUCUCAUAAUGUCAUAUUGCCAUUAUCUAUGAAUAAAGAAAAAGGCCCAUUAUGUUAUGUCUAACUAGAAAGAAACUUAACAAAGAAACACACUGUGUUGUUAAGGAGAGGAAGGAGAGCCUUGUGGUUAGGGCACAGGAGAUGUUGAUUCAAAUUUCUGGCUCUGCAAGAGCCUUCCUCUGUGACCUUGAGUGACUGGUGUACUGCUUCACUCUAAAUGGCAACAGUACCCAAGCAGGAGAGAGAUGGGUGCUGAGAUGGGAAAAAGACCUCUUGAAAAACUGGCAUAAAAAUAGGAGCUACAUAGUUUGGAGUCUUCUUAUUUC
RNAcentral lists this long non-coding RNA (14956 nucleotides) under Gallus gallus (chicken). The record is from RNAcentral. Lineage: Eukaryota; Metazoa; Chordata; Aves; Galliformes; Phasianidae.